Molecule: long non-coding RNA, 892 nt
Organism: Panicum virgatum (switchgrass)
Lineage: Eukaryota; Viridiplantae; Streptophyta; Magnoliopsida; Poales; Poaceae
Exons: 4
Source: RefSeq, a predicted model, not a curated record
ACAGAGAAGAACAGGUGAGCGGAAAUCCAUUGCUGAUAUCAGGCUUGCAGAAAACUUUACACGCUGUUUGUCAUCUCCUGGCGUGGCGACUGGAAUAUCAGGUCUUGCUGAUUGAUCCUCCCGAAGUCAGCUGAAACCUAUAGCCAGCCGUCGGCGUGGGGCCAAGUGCCAAGUGGAAGAAGCACGGUGGUGCUGGUGCGGGCAGGCAGGCAAAACGGAGAAAGGCGUGUCCAGUGUCCUUGCGUGCAUGCCACGGUGCGGUUCCGGAGGCGCCACCGCACCUGCCUGUCGUUCCCUCGAGUCGCAAGCCAUUUUUGGUGCACCGUCCUCUCAUCAAGGAGCAGACGUACACGGAUGGUACGCAUAGGCAGAGAGUUUCCUUUCAUGGAUUUAUCACUGCCGCGCGCACCGGCAGGUCACGAGGAGCUCGCUGCUAGCCGCCCAUUUUCAUGAACCGAGAGAGAUCGGCUGCUACUGCCAGUUCUGGGCCUGCUGGCUGGAACGUUGACUGUUGGCUCGAUCACUUCGAUAUCUUUUUCACGGGUUGGAAGCCGUGCCCCUCUCACCCAACGGCGGGUGAUCGCCCACGUCUGCGGGGAGUAGGGACCCUGUCUGAUUGCCCGGUCAGCAGUCAGCACACGUGGAUGCUUGAUCCCAAAGGCGACGGCGACUGACGAUGACGCCGGCAGAUGGGAUCUCUACUCCUGGCCUGAGAAUCGCCAGGAAUCUCAAUCACUUGGUAACAAGAUUCCCCUCCCACUGAUGGCGCUCAAGAUCCAACAGAGCAGCGUCUCCCUCUUCUAUAAUCGCAGUUGUUGUACCAACCCCAUGAUAGAGCGGAGGCACCUAAACAUUGGCAACUUAGUACACUGGCUCUAACGUUUCCAUUUUA